GCCUAGCCGUAAAAUAUUAACUCACAACCAAAAGCGCCUGGGAACUACGGGCUUAGCCUAAAACCCAAAGGACUUGACGGUGUCCCACCCAACUAGAGGAGCCUGUCCUAUAAUCGAUAACCCCCGCUAAACCUCACCUCUCUUUGCUUUCUCAGCCUGUAUACCUCCGUCGCAAAUCAACCGUGUGAACGCCGAUAGUACGAGGGAAUGGCCCCACGCCAAAACGUCAGGUCAAGGUGCAGCCUAUAGAGAGGGAAGUGAUGGGCCACAAUCUCUAACCUAGAACAAACGAACUACUGUAUAUGAAACUCAGUUAUGAAGGAGGAUUUAGUAGUAAAGAGAAAAUAAUGUGUUCUCUUUAACACGGCCCUGGGACGCGUACACACCGCCCGUCACCCUCUUCGAAAUAUAAGACCAGUUCUCUAACCCUAAACAAUAAAUAGAGAAGAGGUAAGUCGUAACAUGGUAAGUGUACCGGAAGUGCACUUGGCUAACAAAAUGAAGCUUAA
RNAcentral lists this ribosomal RNA (509 nucleotides) under Fejervarya limnocharis (Boie's wart frog). RNAcentral describes it as "partial 12S ribosomal RNA". It matches the Rfam family "Bacterial small subunit ribosomal RNA", at positions 794 to 1533 of the family's 1533-position model. The record is from RNAcentral. Lineage: Eukaryota; Metazoa; Chordata; Amphibia; Anura; Dicroglossidae.